GACGAACGCUGGCGGCGUGCUUAACACAUGCAAGUCGAACGGAAAGGCCCUGCUUUUGUGGGGUGCUCGAGUGGCGAACGGGUGAGUAACACGUGAGUAACCUGCCCUUGACUUUGGGAUAACUUCAGGAAACUGGGGCUCAUACCGGAUAGGAGCUCCUGCUGCAUGGUGGGGGUUGGAAAGUUUCGGCGGUUUGGGAUGGACUCGCGGCUUAUCCGCUUGUUGGUGGGGUAGUGGCUUACCAAGGUUUUGACGGGUAGCCGGCCUGAGAGGGUGACCGGCCACAUGGGGACUGAGAUACGGAGCAGACUCCUACGGGAGGCAGCAGUGGAGAAUAUUGCACAAUGGGCGGAAGCCUGAUGCAGCAACGCCGCGUGCGGGAUGACGGCCUUCGGGUUGUAAACCGCUUUGGCAGGUGACGAAGCGUGAGUGACGGUAAUGGGUAAAGAAGCAACGGCUAACUACGUG
Molecule: ribosomal RNA, 468 nt
Filed under: uncultured bacterium
Lineage: Bacteria
Description: partial 16S ribosomal RNA
Rfam family: Bacterial small subunit ribosomal RNA
Source: RNAcentral